ACCAUACAUGGACCCUGCCGGCCACAUGCAGUCCCUCCAGCGCUACCAACCACUGUGCACAGUCUCCACCAGCUGCCUGCAGUCCCUCCAGCCCUACUGACUACCAUGGAUGGACCCUGCUGGCCACCCAUAUCCCUUCAGCCCUACUGACCACCAUGCAUGGACCGUGCCAGCCAUCUAUGGUCCCUCCAGCCCUACUGACCACCAUGCAUGGACCCUGCUGGCUGCCCAUGGUCCCUCCAGCCCUACUGACUACCAUGCAUGGACCCUGCUGGUGAUCACAGUCCCUCCAGCCCUACUGACCACCAUGCAUGGACCCUGCUGGCUGCCCAUGGUCCCUCCAGCCCUACUGACUACCAUGCAUGGACCCUGCUGGUGAUCACAGUCCCUCCAGCCCUACUGACCACCAUGCAUGGACCCUGCUGGCUGCCCAUGGUCCCUCCAGCCCUACUGACUACCAUGCAUGGACCCUGCUGGUGAUCACAGUCCCUCCAGCCCUACUGACCACCAUGCAUGGACCCUGCUGGCUGCCCAUGGUCCCUCCAGCCCUACUGACUACCAUGCAUGGACCCUGCUGGUGAUCACAGUCCCUCCAGCCCUACUGACCACCAUGCAUGGACCCUGCUGGCUGCCCAUGGUCCCUCCAGCCCUACUGACUACCAUGCAUGGACCCUGCUGGUGAUCACAGUCCCUCCAGCCCUACUGACCACCAUGCAUGGACCCUGCUGGCUGCCCAUGGUCCCUCCAGCCCUACUGACCACCAUGCAUGGACCCUGCUGGCUGCCCAUGGUCCCUCCAGCCCUACUGACCACCAUGCAUGGACCCUGCCGGCCACCCACAAUCCCACCGACUGCCGUGCCUGGACUCUGCCAGCCGCCCACGGUCCCUGCAGCCCUGGGGCUUUGCUGAUGACAUCCCAGCAAGCAGCCCCAAAGGUUCCCUCAAACCAUUUGCUUGGCACCAUCCAAAAUCAUGGGUCUGCGUGAUCUCAGCCAAAGCCACCCAUGGGGUCGCGACUGGGGCCCCGCACAGGGCAAGGUCCCGCAAGCAGCUCGGCGCAGCC
This 1063-nucleotide long non-coding RNA is filed under the name Struthio camelus australis. RNAcentral describes it as "lncRNA (ENSSCUG00000002320.1)". Lineage: Eukaryota; Metazoa; Chordata; Aves; Struthioniformes; Struthionidae. The record is from RNAcentral.